Nycticebus coucang (slow loris) is the source of this 637-nucleotide long non-coding RNA. RefSeq lists it as uncharacterized. NCBI's taxonomy places the organism in Eukaryota, Metazoa, Chordata, Mammalia, Primates, Lorisidae. The transcript is spliced from 3 exons. The record is from RefSeq and is a predicted model, not a curated record.
GAAAGUUCCAGAACAAAUUUUGCAGGAUGUAGCAAGUUGAGUCAGGUUGGACUAUAAGGUCCCUUCUAAAGUGAAGAUUCUGUAAUUUUCAACUUAGACAACUGAAGUAACUAAGUUUCCUCAUCUGAAAAAUGGAGAUACUACUAAUUUCAUAAAGUUGUGGUGAGGAGUAACUGAGUUAAGAAACCUGCUUAUCAAGACCUGAGGACCUGUCUGUCUGAUUUUUGAUUCCCAGCACUCAAUCUACAGGCCUCCUCAGCCUGCACAGCACAGACCACCGAGCUCUCUGCAAGAAAAAGUCCUCAAAGCACGUCCUUUGGAUUUUCUCUGUCUCACUGCCUAUCACAGCCAGCUGCUAUCAGUCCCUGGGUUCAAUCUCUCCUGAAUUAUAUGAAAUUCUCUCCUUAAUCAUUCAAUGUGAGAAGAAGAAAAACAUUCUUCUGAUCUAUAUUGGGGUGGGGCUGGGAGCUUUACGAUUUCUUUUUCAAAACAAGUGAAUUUCGCCAAUAGUUCCCUUAUCCCUUUGGACACGCCUUGCCUGUUGUGCAACAUUAUGACACUUUAUGACAACAUUAAGAGAAUAGCGAAUGGAAUCUUCUAACAAGAACCAUUCACCUUACCUCUUAUUUUGUUCAUA